This 523-nucleotide ribosomal RNA is filed under the name Triticum aestivum (bread wheat). Its description in RNAcentral is "partial small subunit ribosomal RNA". Lineage: Eukaryota; Viridiplantae; Streptophyta; Magnoliopsida; Poales; Poaceae. The record is from RNAcentral.
CACGCGGGGGGAAAGAGGGUGAUGGGGGGUGAGGGAUGGUGUUCUGGCGGCGGCGGCGUCCUCCUCCUCCUCUUCGUCGUCCGCGCUCUUCCUCUAGUGCGCUCGUCCGCUGGCUGGUACUCCCGGUUCACCUUCUUCUUCGCGUACUCCUCCGACUUCUCCUUCGCGGCUUUCUACUCCGUCGCUAGGUUCAUCCGACUACCGCCACCACUACCGCACGACAUCGAACGAUACACACAGAAACCGACGCCGACUGACGCCUACAUGAACGAACCGUACCGCCGCGGUAAGUAGAGUAGACAGUUGAGCAAAUAAGGUCUUUGGACGUGAAAUCAUCCGGACAAUAGCAACGAAAAUCAACAUGGUCCUCAAGACGAUAGUACUGGCUAGAUGGCUUGGCAUACUUGAGACAAAACCUCGAAAUAAACGACGAUUAUAAGCCGGUAGUUCAUAAAAUACGAAAACGACCGUAGUCGUAAUAACAGACCUACGAGAAUAUACAACUAAUGACGACGCACACCUC